This 244-nucleotide ribosomal RNA is filed under the name uncultured bacterium. RNAcentral describes it as "partial 16S ribosomal RNA". It matches the Rfam family "Bacterial small subunit ribosomal RNA", at positions 92 to 334 of the family's 1533-position model. The record is from RNAcentral.
CGAGUGGCGAACGGGUGAGUAACGCGUGAGGAACCUGCCUCAAAGAGGGGGACAACAGUUGGAAACGACUGCUAAUACCGCAUAAGCCCACGACCCGGCAUCGGGUAGGGGGAAAAGGAGCAAUCCGCUUUGAGAUGGCCUCGCGUCCGAUUAGCUAGUUGGUGAGGUAAUGGCCCACCAAGGCGACGAUCGGUAGCCGGACUGAGAGGUUGAACGGCCACAUUGGGACUGAGACACGGCCCAG